This is a long non-coding RNA of Homo sapiens (human), 918 nucleotides long. Ensembl annotates it as deleted in lymphocytic leukemia 1. Its record names the gene DLEU1. The record is from Ensembl. Lineage: Eukaryota; Metazoa; Chordata; Mammalia; Primates; Hominidae.
GCACAUGCGCAGAAUCAUCGUGGUGCACGGCUCUCCCUUUGCUUCUUCGGUUGCAGUCCUCUUGCUUCUUGCGCGUGCGUGUAGCGCUUUUGCAAAGCCGCGGAGGUGAAGUGAACUUAGAGGUUGUGGGGCCGAGGGGUCGUCUUAUAGCUACCAGCCCACAGGCAUUUAGUCUACGUUGGAGGUAAACAAAUACGGGUCCUGCUUAGGAGAAAAGAAAAACGUCUUACAGCCAGUGUCUAAACUCCAAACAACGGAAUGUAUCAAUGAGACCUUGUAUAUGGAUACACGUGCAUUUAAAACCGCCCUGCCGGCUUGUAGAGCUUUUGCCGUUCUCCAGCGCUUUACAGGGGUUAUCGCACUUAAGCCUCGGAACAACUUUACCAGAUGAGGACACCUGAGGUUCAGAUUAAGAAAUCUGCCCCAAAGUCUUAGAACUGGUGCUGCGUUGCCAUCUUUAAAGUCAUCCCACUGGACCACAUCAGUAUUGCAAGCUGCUUGGGUAUCAUUAAUGAAGACAAAGUGGGAUUAUUAUUUUCUAUGAUUUGGGCUUUUGAGUGGGGUUUAAUCUGGACUGAAUUGGAGGAAAGGAACUGGCACCAGAGUGGAGGCUGGAAGGAUGGUGGAACUGACACUGGGACAGAACACAGAAAACAGAAUCUAAUGCUAUUGCUCUGGCUAUAUCAAAUAAAAGUGUCAAGAGUGAGCAUCCUUGCCUUGUGCUGAAUCACAAAGGAAUACCUUUCAGUUUUUCUCCAUUGAUUAUGAUAGCAGUGGGCUUUUCACAGUGGGCUUUACUGUGUUGAGGUACCCUAAUGACAAGUUCACCCCAGUGUUUUCUGAGGAGUCUACCUGGAAAUGAGAACCAUCUGUCCUUCCUAUAGUAGUUCUUCUCAGAAUGCCGACUCUAUGCUAAUG